This is an RNA transcript of Mya arenaria, 1644 nucleotides long. RefSeq lists it as uncharacterized. NCBI's taxonomy places the organism in Eukaryota, Metazoa, Mollusca, Bivalvia, Myida, Myidae. The record is from RefSeq and is a predicted model, not a curated record. The transcript has 10 exons.
UCUGUGAACUAGUGUUUUCUUUGAGGGUGAUUUAAUGAAAUGAAUUGCUGUUAACAGUUUCAUAAAAGUUAUUUUCAAACAUGGAUUCUUUAUUAUUUCUACUAAAGUUAUGUUUCCUUCUGGUUGUGGCUGUUUACGCGCAAGACAACAUAGUAGAAAUUGAAUUUCGAAGGAUAUCCGACAGUCGACCAGACAAACCACAAAUAGUCACUGAGCUACUUGUUGACUAUAUAAGUAAUGAUACAUUCGAGAUAAUGUGUAAGUUGAACGAUGUGAAUCACUUGAAUACUCUGGCGUUUUUAAUCCUGUGGCAGUCCGAUGGUUCUUUAAAAAUCAAACUGCAGAAUGAUAAUCAAACAGUUACAAAAACAUACCGGAAACCUACGUUUUAUUCAAAUGUUACUAGGUGGACGGCUGCCGGUCUCUUUGACAUUGUCACAAGUAAUAGUCGCAACACAACACUUGGUGUGUCUCGGUCAGUGUCCUCAUUUACUUGUACAGAUACGAGGAUGUACAAGUGCUAUGUACAGUACAUUAACUAUGCUAUGAAACAAGACUUCGGAAUUAUAGACAAGCAACUUAAAGUACAAGUGACACCAUCGAAAAUCACGAAACAAAUCUUUGAUGCAAGCGGAGAUGGAGAAACUAUAAUUUCUGAUUUAACAAACUCAACUACAAUUGUCCAUGUCGGUCAGAAAUUACGACUACAAUGCACGGCCAACAUUGGGUCAUUCAACUCAUCAGUGAAUAUUGUUUGGAUGAGAAGUAGCUUGGAUAAUGAGAGCCAGCUUGUCCCUUUUACCUCUGGUAAACAGAUAGUCGGGGAACCGAAGGCUUUUGGUAGUUGUGAGUUUGAACAAAAUGACUCUGUAUUAUACAAUGUUAGUCAGGACGACGCCUUAACAUCGGGAAAUCGCUUUUAUGUUCAGUGUUACGUUCAUAUUACGUCGACAGACUGGAAAACACCUGAGCAGCACAGACCAAAUUUUAGCUUUGUUGUCCAUAUGAAUGAUGGAAACGAAACGGAAGCUGUUGACUUUAAAGUUAUAUCAGCAAUUAUUGGAGGCGUUUGUGCUUUGGUUAUUCUUGGAGUUGCCGGGAUUUUCCUGAAGAGAAAGUUUUCAAAUCCACGUCUUUCUAAAGCUGAUGAAAAGUCUGAGGAAACCAGUCGCCGCCCUGAUGAAACAGAUACAUCAUUUCCGUUAGCAAGACUCUAUGAAACACCAGCAGAAAUAGACGAAAUUGAUAACAUACAAAGACAGUGAGUACUACUUACUACACGGGCUUAUCUAAACGAACCGAGCAACCUAAAUCCUCCUUCAAGACAACGGAACCGUUACAAUACGAAGAGUUAGAUUGUGAGAUAUACCAAAAUAUAUGUAACUGAGACUACCAAACGGCUGCACCAGUUUCGUUUUAAUUUCCUAUACCAGACGUGAGACAUUCAAACAUGGACAAUUUUGACCAGACACUUAAUGGUUCAUUUUAAGUGUAUUUAAAAUUGCUUAAGUCAGUUUUUGUCGUAAUAAAGAAAACAUUCAAAAAUGUCGCGGAGGAAAUGUAUUAUUUACUACUCAUUUGCUUUGUACUCGUUCUCUUCUAUUUCAAAUAUAUCAUGCUUUUACUUAUUUUACAAUAAAAUAG